CAGCCGCCGCGGUAAUACGAAGGGGGCUAGCGUUGCUCGGAAUGACUGGGCGUAAAGGGCGCGUAGGCGGCGAUCAAAGUCAGGCGUGAAAUUCCUGGGCUCAACCUGGGGGCUGCGCUUGAUACUUGGUUGCUUGAGUGGGGAAGAGGGUCGUGGAAUUCCCAGUGUAGAGGUGAAAUUCGUAGACAUUGGGAAGAACACCGGUGGCGAAGGCGGCGACCUGGUCCUUGACUGACGCUGAGGCGCGAAAGCGUGGGGAGCAAACAGGAUUAGAUACCCGCGUAGUCCCUGUCUCUUAUAC
Molecule: ribosomal RNA, 301 nt
Filed under: uncultured bacterium
Lineage: Bacteria
Description: partial 16S ribosomal RNA
Rfam family: Bacterial small subunit ribosomal RNA
Source: RNAcentral